CACAGACUUCUCGUAGUUUUGGACAGGUUGCAUAGGAUGCAAAUGCCGAGUGACUAAUUGUAGACUAACCACGUUCCAAGCACUGAUGGUUCUUGACGUGGCCUGACAACAUCUUCUCAAGUUGCAGAAAUGGACUGCCAUUUUUCUGUCUGGGGAGUUUUGGCCUUUCUGAGUUUGGCUCUUGUUGUUUCGUUGAUACUGAACAUUUCACACUAUAUGAAAAAGAAGCAAGCUAUGAUGGCUACUACACAGAAGAUGACCCAGUUUAUGGCAAUCUCAAUCAAGAUAUUUUAGG
Molecule: long non-coding RNA, 295 nt
Organism: Columba livia (rock pigeon)
Lineage: Eukaryota; Metazoa; Chordata; Aves; Columbiformes; Columbidae
Exons: 3
Source: RefSeq, a predicted model, not a curated record